AACAUCGCGCACCUGCGGGAACCUGCGGAAGGAUCAUUACAGAGUUGCAAAACUCCCUAAACCAUUGUGAACGUUACCUAAACCGUUGCUUCGGCGGGCGGCCCGGGUCCUUCCCGGCGCCCAUCGGCCCUCGCGGGCGCCCGCCGGAGGUAAACCAAACUAUUGCAUUGUAUGGCCUCUCUGAGUCUUCUGUACUGAAUAAGUCAAAACUUUCAACAAUGGAUCUCAGAUCGGAUGAGC
RNAcentral lists this unclassified non-coding RNA (240 nucleotides) under soil metagenome. Its description in RNAcentral is "partial contains 5.8S ribosomal RNA, internal transcribed spacer 2, and large subunit ribosomal RNA". The record is from RNAcentral.